AUGAUUCUUCGUUGACCCCCAGAUCAGAGGCCAACGAAGAAUCUUAAGUUUUAAAUAUAGGGUAAAAGUACCGAAUAUGAGUCCAUUCCCUUAUAUGAGACCCCAGUCUAUUUGGCCCCAUAGAUGCUGGUAUCUAACGGUAAGCAUUAUAACUUGUAGCAAUCACCAUUUUAGGUAUUCGGAGUGUGUAAGAAGAACCUGCCCAGACCAAGCGUGUUUCUGUUCCUUUUUAAGUGUUUUUCAGCUUUUGGAGUUUUUGAAGCGUAUAGGAUCACGUCGAUAUUCCAUAACAAAGAUAAGAUAUCUUUCUUUAAGUUUAAAACUAUUGGGUAGUGGAAGGAACAAAGAAAUUAGUAAGUAGGCUGAACGUCAUUGUAUGCUUAAUCUAGCCUGAUACAAGGUGGCUUUUCUUGUAGUAUCUAAAGUGCCUAAUACGAGACCCUCAAUGGAUCCUAAUAUGAUACAGGGUCUCAUAUUCGGAUCGCAUUUAUUUUAAUUUAUGGUUGUUUUAGAAAUUGAAAAAUAAAACCUAAAAUGAUAUGUUCACAAAUUGCAUUUAUUAAAAAAACCCAAAUUAUGUUAAUUUAUGUAAUAAGGCUGACUUUUCUACAUUGGUUCUUCCUGAAUAUUGUUCACAUAGAUAUUUCCACCACAAAGAAGAUGGAAGACGUGGGAUACUGUUCUGAUGAUUCGUGCAGUUCAGUUAGUACGAAGCGGAGAAAUGGGCUACAAGAGAGCAGCAAAACAUUUGCAGGUACCUAAGGGAAUGCUUGAGAAUUAUGUUAAAGACACCACUAAAUCUCCAGAUUCUCUAGUCCUAGUAAACCUAGGCAGAAAGCCAGCUUUAAAAAAAGAACUGGAAAAUAUGCUCAUUAAAUACUGCAUCGAAAUGGAUAAGAGAUACUAUGGUUAUUUUUUGUGGGAAUCUGUAUUCAGAAGACAAAAGAGGUGAACAAUGGAAGCAAUGUACCAAGUGUUACAUGUGGGCUCAUGAACUUUGCAGAGCAGACGAUCGUUUUAUUUUCGUUCUUGCUCAAAAAAAGAAAAAAAAACAUUUCGAUAGGAAAGAAAUAAAGAAUUUU
This 1082-nucleotide long non-coding RNA is filed under the name Androctonus crassicauda. The record is from RNAcentral. Lineage: Eukaryota; Metazoa; Arthropoda; Arachnida; Scorpiones; Buthidae.